AUACGUAGGGAGCAAGCGUUGUCCGGAAUUACUGGGCGUAAAGGGCGUGUAGGCGGCCGAUCAGGUCAGGUGUGAAAUUUCAGGGCUCAACCCUGAGCGUGCACUUGAAACUGGUUGGCUUGAGUGCAGAAGAGGAAAGUGGAAUUCCCAGUGUAGCGGUGAAAUGCGUAGAUAUUGGGAGGAACACCAGUGGCGAAGGCGACUUUCUGGUCUGUAACUGACGCUGAGGCGCGAAAGCUAGGGGAGCGAACAGGAUUAGAUCCCCUAGUAGUCCACGCCGUAAACGAUGGGUACUAGGUGUAGGAGGUAUCGACCCCUUCUGUGCCGUCGUUAACACAAUAAGUACCCCGCCUGGGGAGUACGGUCGCAAGACUAAAACUCAAAGGAAUUGACGGGG
Molecule: ribosomal RNA, 397 nt
Filed under: uncultured bacterium
Lineage: Bacteria
Description: partial 16S ribosomal RNA
Rfam family: Bacterial small subunit ribosomal RNA
Source: RNAcentral